GAUGAACGCUGGCGGCGUGCCUAAUACAUGCAAGUCGAGCGAACAGAUAAGGAGCUUGCUCCUUUGACGUUAGCGGCGGACGGGUGAGUAACACGUGGAUAACCUACCUAUAAGACUGGGAUAACUUCGGGAAACCGGAGCUAAUACCGGAUAACAUAUUGAACCGCAUGGUUCAAUAGUGAAAGGCGGCUUUGCUGUCACUUAUAGAUGGAUCCGCGCCGUAUUAGCUAGUUGGUAAGGUAACGGCUUACCAAGGCAACGAUGCGUAGCCGACCUGAGAGGGUGAUCGGCCACACUGGAACUGAGACACGGUCCAGACUCCUACGGGAGGCAGCAGUAGGGAAUCUUCCGCAAUGGGCGAAAGCCUGACGGAGCAACGCCGCGUGAGUGAUGAAGGUCUUCGGAUCGUAAAACUCUGUUAUCAGGGAAGAACAAAUGUGUAAGUAACUGUGCACAUCUUGACGGUACCUGAUCAGAAAGCCACGGCUAACUACGUG
Molecule: ribosomal RNA, 497 nt
Filed under: uncultured bacterium
Lineage: Bacteria
Description: partial 16S ribosomal RNA
Rfam family: Bacterial small subunit ribosomal RNA
Source: RNAcentral